UCUCAUCGUCGUAGAAGAAGCCCGA
Molecule: non-coding RNA, 25 nt
Filed under: Drosophila melanogaster (fruit fly)
Lineage: Eukaryota; Metazoa; Arthropoda; Insecta; Diptera; Drosophilidae
Source: RNAcentral